This 429-nucleotide ribosomal RNA is filed under the name Actinomycetes bacterium. RNAcentral describes it as "Actinobacteria bacterium partial 16S ribosomal RNA". It matches the Rfam family "Bacterial small subunit ribosomal RNA", at positions 355 to 776 of the family's 1533-position model. The record is from RNAcentral. Lineage: Bacteria; Bacillati; Actinomycetota; Actinomycetes.
UAGGGAAUCUUCCGCAAUGGGCGAAAGCCUGACGGAGCAACGCCGCGUGAGUGAUGAAGGUCUUCGGAUCGUAAAACUCUGUUAUUAGGGAAGAACAAAUGUGUAAGUAACUAUGCACGUCUUGACGGUACCUAAUCAGAGAGCCACGGCUAACUACGUGCCAGCAGCCGCGGUAAAACGUAGGUGGCAAGCGUUAUCCGGAAUUAUUGGGCGUAAAGCGCGCGUAGGCGGUUUUUUAAGUCUGAUGUGAAAGCCCACGGCUCAACCGUGGAGGGUCAUUGGAAACUGGAAAACUUGAGUGCAGAAGAGGAAAGUGGAAUUCCAUGUGUAGCGGUGAAAUGCGCAGAGAUAUGGAGGAACACCAGUGGCGAAGGCGACUUUCUGGUCUGUAACUGACGCUGAUGUGCGAAAGCGUGGGGAUCAAACAGG